This 1502-nucleotide ribosomal RNA is filed under the name Blautia sp. AM16-16B. RNAcentral's name for it is "bacterial LSU rRNA". It matches the Rfam family "Bacterial large subunit ribosomal RNA", at positions 1 to 1518 of the family's 2925-position model. The record is from RNAcentral. Lineage: Bacteria; Bacillati; Bacillota; Clostridia; Lachnospirales; Lachnospiraceae.
AGGUCAAACAAGAAAGAGCGCAGGGUGGAUGCCUUGGCACUAAGAGCCGAUGAAGGACGUGAUAAGCUGCGAAAAGCUGCGGGGAGGAGCAAAUAUCCAUUGAUCCGCAGGUAUCCGAAUGGGGAAACCCACCUGGAUAAACUCCAGGUAUCCAUACGCCAAUCCAUAACGUAUGGAAGGGAACCCGGUGAACUGAAACAUCUAAGUAGCCGGAGGAAAAGAAAGAAAACUCGAUUCCCAGAGUAGCGGCGAGCGAAAUGGGAGGAGCCUAAACCAGCGUGCGUGCAUGCUGGGGUUAUGGACUGCAGAAGUUACUGAAAACGAUAGUGGAAUGGUUUUGGGAAAGCCAGCCAGAGAGGGUGAAAGCCCCGUACAUGAAAUUGUGACCAGGACGGCAGGAUCCAGAGUACCACGAGACACGUGGAACCUUGUGGGAAGUCGGGGGGACCACCCCCCAAGGCUAAAUACUCCUUAGUGACCGAUAGCGCAUAGUACUGUGAAGGAAAGGUGAAAAGGACCCCGGGAGGGGAGUGAAAGAGAACCUGAAACCCUGUGUUUACAAGCUGUGGGAGCACCUUAUGAGUGCAACCGCGUACUUUUUGUAGAACGGUCCGGCGAGUUACGCUGGCUGGCGAGGUUAAACGGUAGAGCCGUGGAGCCGAAGGGAAACCAAGUCUUAAGAGGGCGGAUAAGUCAGUCAGAGUAGACCCGAAACCGGGUGAUCUAUCCAUGUCCAGGUUGAAGUUGCCGUAAAAGGCAAUGGAGGACCGAACCCACAUCCGUUGAAAAGGGUGGGGAUGAGGUGUGGAUAGGGGAGAAAUUCCAAUCGAACCCGGAGAUAGCUGGUUCUCCUCGAAAUAGCUUUAGGGCUAGCCUCGAUAGAGUCUUGCGGAGGUAGAGCACUGAAUUUCCUAGGGGGCGUCAAAGCUUACCGAAGAAUAUCAAACUCCGAAUGCCGUGUAGAUGCUUAUCGGGAGUCAGACUAUACGAGAUAAGUUGGAUAGUCAAAAGGGAAAGAGCCCAGACCUCCAGCUAAGGUCCCAAAGUACGUGUUAAGUGGAAAAGGAUGUGGGAUUUCGAAGACAACCAGGAUGUUGGCUCAGAAGCAGCCAUACAUUCAAAGAGUGCGUAAUAGCUCACUGGUCGAGAGGUCCUGCGCCGAAAAUGUCCGGGGCUGAAACACGACACCGAAGCUGAGGAAUGUCUGAAGACAUUGGUAGAGGAGCAUUGGAUACGCAACGAAGCAGUACCGGAAGGAGCUGUGGAGUGUAUCGAAGAGAGAAUGCCGGAAUGAGUAGCGAGAGAGAGGUGGGAAUCCUCUCGGCCGAAUAUCUAAGGUUUCCAGGGUAAAGCUGAUCUGCCCUGGGUAAGUCGGGGCCUAAGGCGAGGACGAGAGUCGUAGCCGAUGGACAACAGGUUGAGAUUCCUGUACUGCAGUAAGACAGAACUGUGGGGACACGUGUGGAGAGCAUAGGCGCGGAAUGGAAAGCCGCGUGCAAGCG